RNAcentral lists this ribosomal RNA (253 nucleotides) under uncultured bacterium. Its description in RNAcentral is "partial 16S ribosomal RNA". It matches the Rfam family "Bacterial small subunit ribosomal RNA", at positions 524 to 776 of the family's 1533-position model. The record is from RNAcentral.
UACGUAGGGUGCAAGCGUUAAUCGGAAUUACUGGGCGUAAAGCGUGCGCAGGCGGCUUUGCAAGACAGGUGUGAAAUCCCCGGGCUUAACCUGGGAACUGCACUUGUGACUGCACGGCUUGAGUGCGGCAGAGGGGGAUGGAAUUCCGCGUGUAGCAGUGAAAUGCGUAGAUAUGCGGAGGAACACCGAUGGCGAAGGCAAUCCCCUGGGCCUGCACUGACGCUCAUGCACGAAAGCGUGGGGAGCAAACAGG